CAAGAGGCUCUUUUGGAGCCACACACAUACCAUAAAACAUAAAA
Astyanax mexicanus (Mexican tetra) is the source of this 44-nucleotide non-coding RNA. The record is from Rfam. Lineage: Eukaryota; Metazoa; Chordata; Actinopteri; Characiformes; Acestrorhamphidae.